GUUUAAGUAGUUUAUUUAGAAUUGUAAUUUGUGGUGUUACAGGUGUAUUAUUGUACUUUAGGCC
RNAcentral lists this transfer RNA (64 nucleotides) under Calacta lugubris. Its description in RNAcentral is "tRNA-His". Lineage: Eukaryota; Metazoa; Arthropoda; Insecta; Hemiptera; Plataspidae. The record is from RNAcentral.